AGUGGCGAACGGGUGAGUAAUACAUAAGCAACCUACCCACGAAGACUGGGAUAAUCUCUGGAAACGGGGACUAAUACCGGAUAGGUAAUCGGAAGGCAUCUUCUGAUUAUUAAAGGUUAAAAACACUGGUGGAUGGGCUUAUGGCGCAUUAGUUAGUUGGUGAGGUAACGGCCCACCAAGACGAUGAUGCGUAGCCGGCCUGAGAGGGUGAACGGCCACAUUGGGACUGAGACACGGCCCAG
RNAcentral lists this ribosomal RNA (242 nucleotides) under uncultured bacterium. RNAcentral's name for it is "partial 16S ribosomal RNA". It matches the Rfam family "Bacterial small subunit ribosomal RNA", at positions 94 to 334 of the family's 1533-position model. The record is from RNAcentral.